CUGCAUUGGAAGGCGAAGUCUUAACCACUGGACCACCAGAAACUGCUCAGUCUCCCGCCUCUGUGAAGUUUGCCCAUCUGUCUGGAAAAAGGCAGUUCAGGCCAUGUUUUUCCCAAGCAAUAGAAAAAACCAGUCUCAACAAAGCGAGAAGUUUGUCCUAAGAAGCUGGAAGUUUACUUAAGAGGUAUUUCAAGAACCUAUGUCUUCGAAAGUGGGGGAAUUUUUCUUGGAGUAUACCUGCACCAGUAUGUCCACCUUGAUUUAAUCGUAUGGGGGUAGACAAGUCUUGUUCAUAAAGUGUGUCAAGCUCGAGGAAGAAAAGGUAAGAAGAUGAGUUUAUUAGACCUUGGAAAACAAAACAAACAAAACACCACAACUGAGCAAGCAACCUCAUCCACCUGUGGUUCCCUCCGUGGCUGACACUUUACAUUCCCAUAGCAUUUUCCUUGUAUAUCUCACUUAGCAUCUAUCUUUUGUUAAAGGGCUUCUUGAUUUUGUUUGUUUUUAAAGCUGCUGUUCUAUCAGGUUGUAAAUGCCUGGAGAGGAGGAUCUCCAGACAUCCUGCCUUGUUUUCUUCACAGUCAGGGAUGAUAUUCAAGAUAGUUAACACCCAGUACAGAACAGGAACCAACCAAAUCAAAUGGACACUGGUCUUGGCAAUUUGUACAGCCACACUGGUGUAUACAGCUGAGUAUGUUUUCUGCACAUAGAAGGCUUCCAAUAAACGACUGUUGGAUUGAA
Long non-coding RNA from Balaenoptera musculus (blue whale), 741 nucleotides. RefSeq lists it as uncharacterized. The record is from RefSeq and is a predicted model, not a curated record. NCBI's taxonomy places the organism in Eukaryota, Metazoa, Chordata, Mammalia, Artiodactyla, Balaenopteridae. The transcript has 3 exons.